UGCAUAAUAAAGCCAGAGUUGUCGUCAUUGCUAUUGUUCCAAAGACUUUUCAACUCAUAAGUAAUGAUGCUCAAUUAUUAUAGUCUAGUUUCACUGUUUUGAUGGCUCAAAUUGCAGGAAAUAUUGCUGUCCUGUCAGGGUGAGAACUGAACGACUCUAACCCAUAUUAUGUUGCGUAACCAGUAUAAUAUAAUCUGUGGUAAUUAGGAUUAAUUUGACGUAUAAUUUGACUGGAAAAGAAAACCUGUUUACUAAAGUUUCCUGCAAAUUACUAAAAAGGGUCAAAUCAUUUACAGAAGCAGUCAAUUUUCCAAGGCACAAAAGUCAAAUCCUUGUUUUUUUAAAAUUCAAAUCACAUGACAUGUUGCUUUAAUUAUACAUAGAAAACAAAAGAGAGAAAAGAAAGAGAAUGGAACUAACCGCAAGUGGAAUACCCAAGACACCGAAUACAGCCAAAGCAGAGCCUGUAAUGUUCAAUGGAGGAUGGGUGAGUGGGGACCCAUGGUGUUGUCUCCAAGCCUCAGCCAUCUUUGUGAUCAACACCGUAGACGCCAAGCACGCACACAAGAUGAAGUUGACGAUUGCCCACAAGUUCUUGACUCCACCGAUCAACCGCCCUGCAGGCUCUAACCCCAGUGAAGUCAACCCCAAGACGAUGGAGUUAAUCAUCAAC
This 673-nucleotide long non-coding RNA is filed under the name Gossypium barbadense (sea-island cotton). Its description in RNAcentral is "long non-coding RNA (GBAR_LNC001198)". Lineage: Eukaryota; Viridiplantae; Streptophyta; Magnoliopsida; Malvales; Malvaceae. The record is from RNAcentral.